Molecule: long non-coding RNA, 351 nt
Organism: Dioscorea cayenensis subsp. rotundata (Guinea yam)
Lineage: Eukaryota; Viridiplantae; Streptophyta; Magnoliopsida; Dioscoreales; Dioscoreaceae
Exons: 3
Source: RefSeq, a predicted model, not a curated record
UAUAGAUAAGAGAGGGGUAGAAGAGAAUGGAAGAUGGGGUUCAAGAAAUGAGAGACAUGUCUCCUGAGGAAGAGGAUUUAAUUUGCAGGCUUCACCGUCUUUUAGGAGACAGGUGGGAAAUUAUAUCAGGAAGGCUUCCAAACCGAACUUCCAAAGAAGUGAGAAGUAUUGGAAGAUGAAAGAGAUUGAAAAAUUUAAGACGAAUAAAAUUUACAAACCAAUUUGCACCAGACUAGGUCCAUCUUUCAAGUUCUCAGAGGACAAUAAAAAACAAAAGCUAUGAUUAUGUUUCAGCCCUUAUGAACUACUUGCUUUGUUAGCCUGGUUAUCUUUAUGUAUCAUUUAUAAUUA